UUGGAGGGCAAGUCUGGUGCCAGCAGCCGCGGUAAUUCCAGCUCCAAUAGCGUAUAUCAAAGUUGUUGCAGUUAAAAAGCUCGUAGUUGAAUUUCGGGGUCAGUAGGUUGGUCAUGCCACUGGUAUGUACUGGUCUCACUGAUUCCUCCUUCCUGAUGAACUGUAAUGCCAUUUAUUUGGUGUUGCAGGGAAUCUGGACUGUUACUUUGAAAAAAUUAGAGUGUUUAAAGCAGGCUAACGCCUGAAUACAUUAGCAUGGAAUAAUGAAAUAGGACGUUCGAUCCUAUUUUGUUGGUUUCUAGGAUUGACGUAAUGAUUAAUAGGGAUAGUUGGGGGCAUUAGUAUUCAAUUGUCAGAGGUGUAAUUCUUGGAUUUAUUGAAGACUAACUACUGCGAAAGCAUUUGCCAAGGAUGUUUUCAUUAAUCAAGAACGAAAGUUAGGGGAUCGAAGACGAUCAGAUACCGUCGUAGUCUUAACCAUAAACUAUGCCGACUAGGGAUCGGAUGAUGUUAAUUUUUUAAUGACUCAUUCGGCGCCUUACGGGAAAC
This 549-nucleotide ribosomal RNA is filed under the name uncultured Glomeromycotina. RNAcentral describes it as "SSU rRNA". It matches the Rfam family "Eukaryotic small subunit ribosomal RNA", at positions 548 to 1098 of the family's 1831-position model. The record is from RNAcentral. Lineage: Eukaryota; Fungi; Glomeromycota.